RNAcentral lists this ribosomal RNA (497 nucleotides) under uncultured bacterium. RNAcentral's name for it is "partial 16S ribosomal RNA". It matches the Rfam family "Bacterial small subunit ribosomal RNA", at positions 28 to 507 of the family's 1533-position model. The record is from RNAcentral.
GAUGAACGCUGGCGGCGUGCCUAAUACAUGCCAGUCGAGCGAACGGACGAGAAGCUUGCUUCUCUGAUGUUAGCGGCGGACGGGUGAGUAACACGUGGAUAACCUACCUAUAAGACUGGGAUAACUUCGGGAAACCGGAGCUAAUACCGGAUAAUAUUUUGAACCGCAUGGUUCAAAAGUGAAAGACGGUCUUGCUGUCACUUAUAGAUGGAUCCGCGCUGCAUUAGCUAGUUGGUAAGGUAACGGCUUACCAAGGCAACGAUGCAUAGCCGACCUGAGAGGGUGAUCGUCCACACUGGAACUGGGACACGGUCCAGACUCCUACGGGAGGCAGCAGUAGGGAAUCUUCCGCAAUGGGCGAAAGCCUGACGGAGCAACGCCGCGUGAGUGAUGAAGGUCUUCGGAUCGUAAAACUCUGUUAUUAGGGAAGAACAUAUGUGUAAGUAACUGUGCACAUCUUGACGGUACCUAAUCAGAAAGCCACGGCUAACUACGUG